Molecule: long non-coding RNA, 194 nt
Organism: Passer domesticus (house sparrow)
Lineage: Eukaryota; Metazoa; Chordata; Aves; Passeriformes; Passeridae
Exons: 3
Source: RefSeq, a predicted model, not a curated record
GCAGCACACGUGCAGGUUGGGGUGGGGAUGUCUGGCUGGCCUGGUGUCUCCCAGGACAGACGGAUGCUGGGCUGCACGUGGAGAAGUGCUGAGAGUUUUUAGACAUCCUGGAGCUUUUUGAGAGGCUCAGGAGAGCAUUGAGUGUGGUUUGAAGUCGCCAGCCCCGGCCAUGGCACUGCUCAGACCAGUGGAGG